This is a non-coding RNA of Gossypium arboreum, 106 nucleotides long. Lineage: Eukaryota; Viridiplantae; Streptophyta; Magnoliopsida; Malvales; Malvaceae. The record is from Rfam.
AUCCCAUGAUGAGGAUACUACACAGUAACUCCUUGAAUCGCUCCUAAGCCUCAUACAAAGACUUGUCAUCCAAUCGUUGGAAGGUUGUGAUCUCAUUGCUCAACUU